GGGAAUGUGGCUUAGCGGUGAAGUGCUUGCCUAGCAUGCAUGAAGUCCUGGGUUCAAUUCCUCAGUACCA
This 70-nucleotide transfer RNA is filed under the name Dipodomys ordii (Ord's kangaroo rat). It matches the Rfam family "tRNA". From Rfam's summary of the family: Transfer RNA (tRNA) molecules are approximately 80 nucleotides in length. Their secondary structure includes four short double-helical elements and three loops (D, anti-codon, and T loops). The record is from Rfam by way of RNAcentral. Lineage: Eukaryota; Metazoa; Chordata; Mammalia; Rodentia; Heteromyidae.